RNAcentral lists this ribosomal RNA (908 nucleotides) under uncultured bacterium. RNAcentral's name for it is "bacterial SSU rRNA". It matches the Rfam family "Bacterial small subunit ribosomal RNA", at positions 13 to 916 of the family's 1533-position model. The record is from RNAcentral.
UUGAUCAUGGCUCAGAUUGAACGCUGGCGGCAGGCUUAACACAUGCAAGUCGAGCGGAGAGAGGUAGCUUGCUACUGAUCUUAGCGGCGGACGGGUGAGUAAUACUUAGGAAUCUGGCUAUUAGUGGGGGACAACAUUUCGAAAGGGAUGCUAAUACCGCAUACGUCCUACGGGAGAAAGCAGGGGAUCUUCGGACCUUGCGCUAAUAGAUGAGCCUAAGUCGGAUUAGCUAGUUGGUGGGGUAAAGGCCUACCAAGGCGAUGAUCUGUAGCGGGUCUGAGAGGAUGAUCCGCCACACUGGGACUGGGACACGGCCCAGACUCCUACGGGAGGCAGCAGUGGGGAAUAUUGGACAAUGGGGGGAACCCUGAUCCAGCCAUGCCGCGUGUGUGAAGAAGGCCUUAUGGUUGUAAAGCACUUUAAGCGAGGAGGAGGGUACUGGUAUUAAUACUACCAGGUACUGGACGUUACUCGCAGAAUAAGCACCGGCUAACUCUGUGCCAGCAGCCGCGGUAAUACAGAGGGUGCGAGCGUUAAUCGGAUUUACUGGGCGUAAAGCGUGCGUAGGCGGCUAAUUGAGUCGGAUGUGAAAUCCCCGAGCUUAACUUGGGAAUUGCAUUCGAUACUGGUUAGCUAGAGUGUGGGAGAGGAUGGUAGAAUUCCAGGUGUAGCGGUGAAAUGCGUAGAGAUCAGGAGGAAUACCGAUGGCGAAGGCAGCCAUCUGGCCUAACACUGACGCUGAGGUACGAAAGCAUGGGGAGCAAACAGGAUUAGAUACCCUGGUAGUCCAUGCCGUAAACGAUGUCUACUAGCCGUUGGUCUCUUUGAGGGAUUAGUGGCGCAGCUAACGCGAUAAGUAGACCGCCUGGGGAGUACGGUCGCAAGACUAAACUCAAAUGAAUUGACGG